This 85-nucleotide transfer RNA is filed under the name Felis catus (domestic cat). It matches the Rfam family "tRNA". Rfam says of the family: Transfer RNA (tRNA) molecules are approximately 80 nucleotides in length. Their secondary structure includes four short double-helical elements and three loops (D, anti-codon, and T loops). Lineage: Eukaryota; Metazoa; Chordata; Mammalia; Carnivora; Felidae. The record is from Rfam by way of RNAcentral.
ACCUGGGUAGCUCAGUCAGUUGAGCAUCCGACUUCAGCUCAGGUAAUGAUCUCAUGAUUCGUGGGUUCGAGCCCCACCUUGGGCU